GACGAACGCUGGCGGCGUGCUUAACACAUGCAAGUCGAACGAGAGGACAAGAGAAGCUUGCUUCUUUUGGAAUCGAGUGGCAAACGGGUGAGUAACACGUAAACAACCUGCCUUCAGGAUGGGGACAACAGACGGAAACGACUGCUAAUACCGAAUACGCUUGGAAGACCGCAUGAUUUUCCAAGGAAAGGGUGGCCUCUACCUGUAAGCUAUCGCCUGAAGAGGGGUUUGCGUCUGAUUAGGCAGUUGGUGAGGUAACGGCCCACCAAACCUACGAUCAGUAGCCGGUCUGAGAGGAUGAACGGCCACACUGGAACUGAGACACGGUCCAGACUCCUACGGGAGGCAGCAGUGGGGAAUCUUCCGCAAUGGACGAAAGUCUGACGGAGCAACGCCGCGUGAGUGAUGACGGCCUCGGUUGU
RNAcentral lists this ribosomal RNA (422 nucleotides) under uncultured bacterium. RNAcentral describes it as "bacterial SSU rRNA". It matches the Rfam family "Bacterial small subunit ribosomal RNA", at positions 28 to 426 of the family's 1533-position model. The record is from RNAcentral.